RNAcentral lists this transfer RNA (77 nucleotides) under Clostridiaceae bacterium. Its description in RNAcentral is "tRNA-Arg". It matches the Rfam family "tRNA". Rfam says of the family: Transfer RNA (tRNA) molecules are approximately 80 nucleotides in length. Lineage: Bacteria; Bacillati; Bacillota; Clostridia; Eubacteriales; Clostridiaceae. The record is from RNAcentral.
GUGUUCGUAGCUCAGUCGGAUAGAGCAGCAGUUUCCUAAACUGCGGGCCGUAGGUUCAAUUCCUAUCGAGCACACCA